UUCUACCUUCGACAUGUUUCCAGCGGCACAGCGGUCACUGACGAUUAUGGUCGGGGAAGAUUUGGACGAAUCUGGAGGAGGCGAACAUGGGUCUUUGGAAUGCUAGGCAUAACAGGCAUGAGAAGGCGGCCCAUUCUGAGGCUAGUCAGAAAACAGUCCUGGUGGCACUUGAUCCCAGUCAUAAGGUGUUAUGAUUGCCAAGGGACCACUAUCAUCUCAGAUCAAUAGAGGGUUUAGAUGACGGCACUGGCUAAUAGUGGAUAUGUUCACUAUUCAGUAAACUACAGCGGGUCAUUUGUAAACGCAGAAACAGGUGCCCAUAC
Long non-coding RNA from Melanotaenia boesemani (Boeseman's rainbowfish), 323 nucleotides. RefSeq lists it as uncharacterized. The record is from RefSeq and is a predicted model, not a curated record. The transcript is spliced from 2 exons. NCBI's taxonomy places the organism in Eukaryota, Metazoa, Chordata, Actinopteri, Atheriniformes, Melanotaeniidae.